Long non-coding RNA from Mangifera indica (mango), 1126 nucleotides. RefSeq lists it as uncharacterized. The transcript has 7 exons. NCBI's taxonomy places the organism in Eukaryota, Viridiplantae, Streptophyta, Magnoliopsida, Sapindales, Anacardiaceae. The record is from RefSeq and is a predicted model, not a curated record.
ACCAACCAAGCGGAUCAAACGAACUACCAGUAAAGUUUAGAGCUCUACAGCUACAAACAAAACAUACUCCCUUGUUUUGAAGAGCUGUAUAUUUUAAUUUUGAAAACUUCACUUGAAUUUCAAUCCCACUUUCGUAUCCCAAAACUCUCUCUAACACUCUACUUCGCUCUCUGGUUUUUCUGUUGUUAAACAGCUUGAAAAAUUGCAGUUAAAGGAUCAACUUCUGGUGGUGGAUCUGGGAGGCAGUGGUUGCAGUGGACUUCAGAUGUUCAUGACGAUUUUGUGAAUGCUAAUUUGCAACUUGUUGGACCAGAGAAACUGAUGGAUGGAUAUCCUGUCUGGAUCUGAAGACUUUUUCUUCUUAAUGUGGAGGAUUGAGGGCUGUCCAAAUUAUAAAGGUGCAAUUAUCCGGUUGAAACUAGAUCUUUGGUACAAGACAUGCUGAUAUUGAGUUGAUGUACCUGAUUUCUCAAAGCGAUUGCAAAGUGUCUUCAUUUUUGUUGUAAAAGUAUUAUCUUGCUAAGUUGUUGCCAGAAUCUCCUGGUAAAGGUUCUAAGUAGGAAAGUCUCUGGAGAGAGCCUGUCUGGUGAGGAUUUCUUCCAGGGGAGUGCAAAUUAAUGAAGCACUGACUUUACAAUGGAGGUUCAAAAAUGUCUUCAUGAGCAGCUUGAGGUGCGAAGACAGUUACAAGUUAGAAUUGAAGCUCAGGGGAAAUACCUGGAGAAGAUCAUCGAGGAGCAGCAGAAACUUGGAGGUGCACUAAAAGCCCCUAAUGUGGUAGCAUCAGCAGAUAAUAAGGGAAAUUCAUCACAAUCAGAGCCUCCUUCUGAUGCCCCUGCAGAGUUAUUUGCUUCCUGAAAUAUAGGGAUGAAUAUGAUAAUUGUGCCCCUUACUGGUGUCACAAAUUUGUUUUUUGAAAGCAUGAUUACGGUGGUCAGAUUAAAGUUGGUAUGGUUCUGAUGUGAGUAUAGUGAGAUCCAUUGUAUUGAUUAGGACUCUCUGAGCUGUGUGUCGGCUUGUUAUGUUUGUUACUCUAGUUAAAAUGCUUUACUGUGUAAAUUGUGAAAUUUAAUCUAUUGUAUUAAUAAUUAUUUUAAAACAAUUUAGUUUUCUGUUUCUGCUUUAA